Molecule: ribosomal RNA, 499 nt
Filed under: uncultured bacterium
Lineage: Bacteria
Description: partial 16S ribosomal RNA
Rfam family: Bacterial small subunit ribosomal RNA
Source: RNAcentral
GAUGAACGCUGGCGGCGUGCCUAAUACAUGCCAGUCGAGCGAACAGACGAGAGUGCUUGCACUCUCUGACGUUAGCGGCGGACGGGUGAGUAACACGUGGGUAACCUACCUAUAAGACUGGGAUAACUUCGGGAAACCGGAGCUAAUACCGGAUAAUAUUUAGCUUCGCAUGAAGCAAUAGUGAAAGACGGUUCUGCUGUCACUUAUAGAUGGACCCGCGGUGUAUUAGCUAGUUGGUGAGGUAACGGCUCACCAAGGCAACGAUACAUAGCCGACCUGAGAGGGUGAUCGGCCACACUGGGACUGAGACACGGCCCAGACUCCUACGGGAGGCAGCAGUAGGGAAUCUUCCGCAAUGGACGAAAGUCUGACGGAGCAAUGCCGCGUGAGUGAAGAAGGUUUUCGGAUCGUAAAACUCUGCUGUAAGGGAAGAACAAGUACGUUAGUAACUGAACGUACCUUGACGGUACCUUACCAGAAAGCCACGGCUAACUACGUG